ACCUUUGACCUGGAUUGGAGGAAAUGAUGGUGGUCAGCCAGAGUUGACAAAGAUACCUCUUCAUACACGCUUCAUCAGAAUGACCACAGUUAGAAACACUCCACAGGGACAGUCUUGCUCCAAGAUCUUUAAGGACAGGAGCUGGUCCUGGACUGAUGGGUCUGGAUUUAAUUACCCGGAAUGGGCACAAGGGGACCCCAACAACUAUAAUGGUGUCAGAGAGCCGUGUAUUCAGAUGAACUUUGGAGAUGAACGUCGCUGGAACGACGAUGUCUGAGAAGCGCUUUGCAUCAGUCUGCUGCUGAGGCCAUUAAAUCAAGUGUUGUUGCUGUGACAUCUUCCUGUUGAAUGUUGUGGUUGUCAAUAAAACCACUGAACACA
Esox lucius (northern pike) is the source of this 381-nucleotide long non-coding RNA. RefSeq lists it as uncharacterized. The transcript is spliced from 3 exons. NCBI's taxonomy places the organism in Eukaryota, Metazoa, Chordata, Actinopteri, Esociformes, Esocidae. The record is from RefSeq and is a predicted model, not a curated record.